This 5957-nucleotide long non-coding RNA is filed under the name Panax ginseng (ginseng). RNAcentral's name for it is "long non-coding RNA (PGIN_LNC009712)". The record is from RNAcentral. Lineage: Eukaryota; Viridiplantae; Streptophyta; Magnoliopsida; Apiales; Araliaceae.
UUGAUAAAUGUGAUUGUAAUUUUUUUGUGUUGUUAUAUAUGUUUGGAUGUUUUGUUAUUAUGAUUCGUUGGUGGUUGAUAUCCUACUUAUUGUGUUAUGAAUUUUGAAUGAGUUUUUUCGUGUAUCUAUUUAGUGUAUUUGUUAUAUUGUAUUUAAUAUUUUAGUUUAUUUUGUACUUUUGUUGAGAGAUAAUUUUACACUUGGGACACCCUUUUGAAUAUGUAUUUAUUUCUUUGUAUGUCUCCCUAUAUGGGUUGUGCCAAGUGAAAAUUUUGUAAUGUAAACUUACUAUAAAUGUAAGGUAUAGAGUGUGGCCUGGAAAGGUUGAGUGAAUUUUUGUAAUGUACAACUCACAAAUCAUGUAAGCUGAAAAUGAGGGUAAAAGUUGGGAGAUUCAGCUUCUUGAAAUUGAAUCAAUAUUGAUAUUUACAAGCAUGAAGAAAUUUUAAUAGCUAAUGUAUUAUUUAAAUUAGAAAUUUUUGUUUGAAUGAUAUUGUACUAAUGUGAUACAAGUGUGAACAAAAUUUUAAAAAUAUUUUGCAGGUUGUAUUGAUUCUUAGCAAGCUUGCUAAAUUUAGAAGUCUUUACUUCUCUUGGAACAUGAGGUACUAUUUAUCGGUAUAUUUUUUUUAUUCUUAUUUGUUUCUACCUUAAAUUUUUGUUUGAGAACACAGGUUUGACAAAAGUAGCAACCUUUAAGAAAAGGGAGGUAGUAAGAAUGUAGUGGGAUUUGGAUUUUGUGAUAGAUUUGGAUAGAAAAAGAAUUGUAAAUACCUAUAGGCGUAGAAGAGGGCUAGUUUUAUAAGUACUAAAUAUUUAGGAAAAUAAUUAUAUUAUAUUAUAUUAUAUUAUAUUAUAUUAUAUUAUAUUAUAUUAUAUUAUAUUAUAUUAUUAUGUAAUAUACGUAAUAUACAUGUGUAUCUACACAUUAUAUUACAUAAAUAUAUAUUAUAUAAAAUGCGUUAUAUAUAUUUACGCAUUGUUAUUAAACUUUGUUUGGAAUAUUGUAAUUUUUUUGAAUGUGUUAUAUAUGUGUUAUUUUUUUUGUUAUUGUGUGAUGUUUCGAUUGAAUAUUGUAAUAUUUGUUUUCAAUGUGAUGUUUCAUCGGAAUAUUAUAAUUUUUUUGAUUAAUGUUGAUUUUGUUUGUGAAUGUGAUGUUUCGUUGAUAAAUGUGAUUGUAAUUUUUUUUCCUGUUGUUAUAUAUAUGUUUGGAUGUUUUGUUAUUAUGUUUCGUUGGUGGUUGAUAUCCUACUUAUUGUGUAAUUUAUUUUGAAUGAAUUUUUUCGUGUAUCUAUUUAGUGUAUUUAUUAUAUUGUAUUUAAUAUUUUAGUUUAUUUUGUACUUUUGUUGAGAGAUAAUUUUACACACUUGGGACACCCAUUUGAAUAUGUAUUGAUAUUUCUUUGUAUGUCUUUCUAUAUGCGUUGUGCCAAGUGAAAAUUUUGUAAUGUAAACUUACUAUAAAUGUAAGGUAUAGAGUGUGGCCUGGAAAGGUUGAGUGAAUUUUAGUAAUGUACAACUCUCAAACCAUGUAAGCUGAAGAUGGGGAUAAAAGAUGGGAAAUUCAGCUUCUUGAAAUUGGAUCAAUAUUGAUAUUUACAAGCAUGAAGAAAUUUUAAUAGCAAAGGUAUUAUUUAAAUUAGAAAUUUUGUUUGAAUGAUAUUGUACUAAUGCGAUAUAAGUUUGAACAAAAUUUUAAAAAUAUUUUGCAGGUUGUAUUGAUUCUUAGCAAGCUUUCUAAAUUUAGAAGUCUUUACUUCUCUUGGAACAUGAGGUACUAAUUAUCGGUAUAUUUUUUUUAUUCUUAUUUGUUUUUAACUUAAAUUUUUGUUUGAGAACACAUGUUUGACAAAAGUAGCAACCUUUAGGAAAAGGGAGGUAGUAAGAAUAUAGUGGAAUUUGGAUUUUGUGAUAGAUUUGAGUAGAAAAAGAGUCGUAAGUAGGUAUAGGCGUAGAAGAGGGCUAGUUUUAUAGAUUCUAAAUAUUUAGGAAAAUAAUAUAAUAUAAUUAUAUUAUAUUAUAUUUAUAAUUAUAUUAUAUUAUACUGUACUAUACUAUACUAUACUUUAUUAUAUUAUAUUAUAUUAUAUUAUAUUAUAUUAUAUUAUAUUAUUAUGUAAUAUACGUAAUAUACAUGUGUAUCGAUACACAUUAUAUUACAUAAAUAUAUAUUAUAUAAAAUGUGUUAUAUAUGUUUACACAUUGUUAUUAAACUUUGUUUGGAAUAUUGUAAUAUUUGUUUUGAAUGUGAAAUUUCGUCGGAAUAUUAUAAUUUUUUUGAUGAAUGCUAAUUUUGUUUGUGAAUGUGAUGUUUCUUUGAUAAAUGUGAUUGUAAUUUUUUUGUGUUGUUAUAUAUGUUUGGAUGUUUUGUUAUUAUGUUUUGUUGGUGGUUGAUAUCCUACUUAUUGUGUUAUGAAUUUUGAAUGAGUUUUUUCGUGUAUCUAUUUAGUGUAUUUGUUAUAUUGUAUUUAAUAUUUUAGUUUAUUUUCCCUCUAUAUGGGUUGUGCCAAGUGAAAAUUUUGUAAUGUAAACUUACUAUAAAUGUAAGGUAUAGAGUGUGGCCUAGAAUGGUUGGGUGAAUUUUUGUAAUGUACAACUCACAAACCAUGUAAGCUGAAGAUAAGGGUAAAAGAUGGUAGAUUCAGCUUCUUGAAAUUGGAUCAAUAUUGAUAUUUACAAGCAUGAAGAAAUUUUAAUAGCAAAGGUAUUAUUUAAAUUAGAAUUUUUUGUUUGAAAGAUAUUGUAUUAAUGCCAUAAAAGUUUGAACAAAAUUUUAAAAAUAUUUUGCAGGUUGUAUUGAUUCUUAGCAAGCUUGCUAAAUUUAGAAGUCUUUACAUUGGAAAAUGAUGUACUAUUUAUCGGUAUAUUUUUUUUAUUCUUAUUUGUUUCUAACUUAAAUUUUUGUUUGAGAACACAGAUUUGACAAAAGUAGCAGCCUUUAAGAAAAGGGAUAUAUAUAGUAAGAAUGUAGUGGCAUUUUAAUUUUGUGAUAGAUUUGGGUAGAAAAAGAGUCGUAAGUAGGUAUAGGCGUAGAAGAGGGUUAGUUUUAUAGGUUUUAAAUAUUUAGGAAAAUAAUUAUAUUAUAUUAUAUUAUAUUAUAUUAUUAUGUAAUAUAUGUAAUAUACAUGUGUAUCGAUACACAUUAUAUUACAUAAUUAUAUAUUAUAUAAAAUGUUUUAUAUAUGUUUACGCAUUGUUAUUAAACUUUGUUUGGAAUAUUGUAAUUUUUUUGAAUGGUCUUGCUUGAUGAAUAUGUUAUAUAUGUGUGUUAAUUUUUUAUUUUUUUUGUGUUGUUAUAUAUGUUUGGAUGUUUUGUUAUUAUGUUUUGUGUAUUUAUUUAGUGUAUUUGUUAUAUUGUAUUUAAUAUUCUAAUUUAUUUUGUACUUUUGUUGAGAGAAUUUUACACUUGAGGCACCUUUUGAAUAUGUAUUGAUAUUUCUUUGUAUGUCUCUUUAUAUGGGUUGUGUAAAGUGAAAAUUUUGUAAUGUAGAAUUUACUAUAAAUGUAAGGCAUAGAGUGUGGCCUGGAAAGGUUGAGUGAAUUUUUGUAAUGUACAACUCACAAACCAUGUAAGCUGAAGAUGAGGGUAAAAGAUGGGAGAUUCAGCUUCUUAAAAUUGGAUCAAUAUUGAUAUCUACAAGCAUGAAGAAAUUUCAACAGCAAAGGUAUUAUUUAAAUUAGAAAUUGUUGUUUGAAUGAUAUUGUACUAAUGCGAUACAAGUUUGAAUAAAAGAUUAAAAAUAUUUUGCAGGUUGUAUUGAUUCUUAGCAAGUUUGCUAAAUUUAGAAGUCUUUACUUCUCUUGGAACAUGAGGUACUAUUUAUUGGGAUAUAUUUUUUUAUUCUUAUUUCUUUCUAACUUCAAUUUUUAUUUGAGAACGCAGGUUUGACAAAAGUAGCAGCCUUUCUUAAAGAGAAAAGGGAGGUAGUAAGAAUGUAGUGUGAUUUGGAUUCUUUGAUAGAUUUGGGUAGAAAAAAAGCCGUAAGUAGGUAUAGGCGUAGAAGAGGGCUACUUUUAUAGGUUCUAAAUAUUUAGGAAAGUGAUUAUAAUUAUAUUAUAUUAUAUUAUACUAUACUAUACUAUACUAUACUAUACUAUACUAUUUUAUACUAUACUAUACUAUACUAUACUAUACUAUACUAUACUAUACUACAGUAUAUUAUAUUAUAUUAUAUUAUAUUAUAUUAUACGUAAUAUACAUAUGUGUCCACUUUAUAAUAUAUAAAUAUAUAUUAUAUAAAAUGUGUUAUAUAUGUUUACACAUUGCUAUUAAACUUUGUUUGGAAUAUUAUAAUUUUUUUGGAUGGUCUUGCUUGAUGAAUGUGUUAUAUAUGUGUUAUAUUUAUUUUUUUUGUUAUUGUGUGAUGUUUCGUUGGAAUAUUGUAAUAUUUGUUUUGAAUGUGAUGUUUCAUUGGAAUAUUGAAUUUUUUUUAUGAAUGUUGAUUUUGUUUGUGAAUGUGAUGUUUCGUUGAUGAAUAAUGUGAUUGUAAUUUUUUUUUGUUGUAAUAUAUGUUUGGAUGUUUUGUUAUUAUGUUUCGUUGGUGGUUGAUGUCCUAUUUAUUGUGAUAUGAAUUUUGAAUAAGUUUUUUUGUGUAUUUAUUUAGUGUAUUUAAUAUUUUAAUUUAUUUUGUUCUUUUGUUUUGAGAUAAUUUUAUACUUGGGGCACCUUUUGAAUAUGUAUUGAUAUUUCUUUGUAUGCUUCUCUAUAUGGGUUAUGCAAAGUUAAAAUUUUGUAAUAUAGAAUUUACUAUAAAUGUAAGGCAUAGAGUGUGGCCUGGUAAGGUUGAGGAAAUUUUUAUAAUGUACAACUCACAAACCAUGUAAGCUGAAGAUGAGGGUAAAUGAUAGGAGAUUCAACUUCUUGAAAUUGAAUCAAUAUUAUUAUUUUUAAGCAUGAAGAAAUUUCCAUAGCAAAGGUAUUAUUUAAAUUAGACAUUGUUGUUUGACUGAUAUUGUACUAAUGCGAAAUAAGUUUGAACAAAAUUUUUAAAAUAUUUUGCAGGUUAUCAUUAUUAGCAAGCUUGCUAAAUUUAGAAGUUUUUACUUCUAUUGGAACAUGAGGUACUAUUUAUCGGUAUAUUUUUUUUAUUAUUAUUUUUUUCUAACUUAAAUUUUUGUUUGAGAAUAUAGGUUUGAUAAAAGUAGCAGCCUUUCUUAAAUAGAAAAAGGAGGUAGUAAGAAUGUAGUGGGAUUUGAAUUUUGUGAUAGAUUUGGGUAGAAAAAGAGCUGUAAGUAGGUAUAGACGUAGAAGAGAGCUAGUUUUAUAGGUUCUAAAUAUUUAGGAAAGUGAUAUAAUUAUAUUAUAUUAUAUUAUAUUAUAUUAUAUUAUAUUAUAUUAUAUUAUAUUAUAUUAUAUUAUAUUAUAUUAUAUUAUAUAUAUUAUAUUAUGUUAUGUUAUAUUAUAUAUUAUAUUAUGUUAUAUUAUAUUAUUAUGUAAUAUACGUAAUAUACAUAUAUAUGCAUACACAUUAUAUUAUAUUAAUAUCUAUUGUAAUUUUUUUUGAAUGGUCUAGCUUGAUGAAUGUGUUAUAUAUGUGUUAUUUUUAUUUUUUUUGUUAUUAUGUGAUGUUUCGUUGGAAUAUUGUAAUAUUUGUUUUGAAUGAGAUGUUUCAUUGGAAUAUUAAUUUUUUUUUUGAUGAAUGUUGAUUUUGUUUGUGAAUGUGAUGUUUCGUUGAUGAAUGUGAUUGUAAUUUUUUUGUGUUGUUAUAUAUGUUUGGAGGUUUUGUUAUUAUGUUCCGUUGGUGGUUGAUGUCCUACUUAUUGUGAUAUGAAUUUUGAAUAAGUUUUUUCGUAUAUUUAUUUAAAAAUUUUGUAAUAUAGAAUUUACUAUAAAUGUAAGACAUAGAGUGUGGCAUGGAAAGGUUGAGGGAAUUUUUGUAAUGUACAACUCACAAACCAUGUAAGUUGAAGAUGAGGGUAAAUGAUAGGAGAUUCAGCUUCUUGAAAUUGGAUCAAUA